UGCUCUCUUAUAUUCGGUGUUGGCAUUCUC
RNAcentral lists this non-coding RNA (30 nucleotides) under Mus musculus (house mouse). Lineage: Eukaryota; Metazoa; Chordata; Mammalia; Rodentia; Muridae. The record is from RNAcentral.